RNAcentral lists this non-coding RNA (89 nucleotides) under Eutreptiella gymnastica. The record is from RNAcentral. Lineage: Eukaryota; Euglenozoa; Euglenophyceae; Eutreptiales; Eutreptiaceae.
UACAACGUCCCGCAACUAGGAAAAAAUCAAUGAUAAAAAGGAAAGUAAAACAAAAAGGGAAAAUGGCCUCUUAUUAUUCUCUCAUUAUU